CUCAAAAAAUUCUUUCGCUUUUCACUUCAAACUUUUUUUUAAUAAGAUAUUACUAUCACACAGUGUUUUGAAUUCUAUAAGUUCCUGUAAGCGUAUACAUUAAAUCUGAACUGGACCUUCCUUUCAGCUACUUAUGAGCCAAGGCCUGUUCCGUCAGAACCUAAAGAACACGAGUCUAUCAUGCCAGAAGUACCAGAGAGGAAACCUGUUGCAACUGAGGCUGAUAGUUAUCUUCCUGAAAUAUUGAGCACACCAGAACUCCCAAUUAGCAGACCUGCUUCUUAUGAACCAAGCCCUGUUCCGACAAAACCUAAAGAACAUGAAUCUAUCAUGCCAGAAGUACCAGAGAGGAAACCUGGUAGAGUGACUUUUUUCAAUACUUCUUUCUGCUUUUUGCAAGAUAAUAUCUUGACUCUCUUCUAAUGGCAAAAUGUAUAAUUUCUAAAUCUAUUCACCCAUUCAUGGAUAUGGCACAAGAUUGAAACUGCCCCUUAAUAGAACAGGAUUAAAGGAGACUUUCCCAUCUCGAGACAUCCCA
This is a non-coding RNA of Python bivittatus (Burmese python), 538 nucleotides long. Lineage: Eukaryota; Metazoa; Chordata; Lepidosauria; Squamata; Pythonidae. The record is from RefSeq and is a predicted model, not a curated record.